Molecule: long non-coding RNA, 200 nt
Filed under: Brassica napus (rape)
Lineage: Eukaryota; Viridiplantae; Streptophyta; Magnoliopsida; Brassicales; Brassicaceae
Description: long non-coding RNA (BNAP_LNC026266)
Source: RNAcentral
AGGCGGGGAGGUUAAAGACAAACUCGAAUUCACCAAUCACCAAAAGAAGCUUUGAAAUCGCCUUUGUGUUUGUCGAGAUAGAAAGAGAUCCAUAGAAAAGUAUUAGAACAAGAAGGAGAAAGGAACAAACGUUAUGACAGAAAUUGGAUGGAGACCGUUGGUGUUUACCUUUGUAUGUAGGAGAAGACAAAGGGGUUCCA